GAGCCCUACGGGACGCAGCAGUGGGGAAUAUUGGGCAAUGGGCGCAAGCCUGACCCAGCAACGCCGCGUGAAGGAAGAAGGCUUUCGGGUUGUAAACUUCUUUUCUCAGGGACGAAGCAAGUGACGGUACCUGAGGAAUAAGCCACGGCUAACUACGUGCCAGCAGCCGCGGUAAUACGUAGGUGGCAAGCGUUAUCCGGAUUUAUUGGGUGUAAAGGGUGCGUAGACGGGAAAUUAAGUUAGUUGUGAAAUCCCUCGGCUUAACUGAGGAACUGCAACUAAAACUGAUUUUCUUGAGUACUGGA
This 305-nucleotide ribosomal RNA is filed under the name uncultured bacterium. RNAcentral describes it as "bacterial SSU rRNA". It matches the Rfam family "Bacterial small subunit ribosomal RNA", at positions 334 to 653 of the family's 1533-position model. The record is from RNAcentral.